UACGUAGGGGGCAAGCGUUGUCCGGAAUCAUUGGGCGUAAAGAGCGCGUAGGCGGCCCUGUAAGUCCGCUGUGAAAGUCAAGGGCUCAACCCUUGAAUGCCGGUGGAUACUGCAGGGCUAGAGUCCGGAAGAGGCGAGUGGAAUUCCUGGUGUAGCGGUGAAAUGCGCAGAUAUCAGGAGGAACACCGAUGGCGAAGGCAGCUCGCUGGGACGAUACUGACGCUGAGACGCGAAAGCGUGGGGAGCAAACAGG
This 253-nucleotide ribosomal RNA is filed under the name uncultured bacterium. RNAcentral's name for it is "partial 16S ribosomal RNA". It matches the Rfam family "Bacterial small subunit ribosomal RNA", at positions 524 to 776 of the family's 1533-position model. The record is from RNAcentral.